GCGUACUGCGUUGCAGUGUAGGGGAAUUUCUGUUUAUGUUGCUUUCCUAGAGACAGAGUCAUUCAUCAGGAUAAAUUACGGUCAAUUAGCAAACAAACUCUCGUCGUCGGUGGCGACUGCAAAGUUGUUGUAAUCAAUGGCAAUCGAGAAUGUUAGAUAUUUUUCAUCAUUUUGCAUGUGUUUAAUUUUUUUUUUUUUGCGAAUGAUUUGUCGCCUGGAUUAGUGUUUCCCGCUGUGCAACGUGAGUCAGGUUGCGGGGGGCUCGGGGGCAACGCCCCCGAAAGAGAAUUUUAUUUUCAAAAGUUUUUGAAUAGGUGCAUUUGUUCAUUUUUAAAAGUCACUUCCAAUAGAUGUACGCAAGAAUUUCAAGGGAUACACCUAUUCAAACAGUUGCCUCAGUUUCUAUAAAUUCUGGGCGAAUUCUCAUUUGCAAAUACAUUAAAAAUAUUAUUAUUCUUUCUUUCUCUUGACAUCAAUCAGUUCUUUUCAAGUGUCUCUUGGUUUGAUCAAAUAGUCACAAUUUGAAUCAAACGUCUCCAUUGUAUCAUGAGAGAGAUUUUCUAUCAUACCCCAAUUGUGACUUUGUUGGAUAUGGGAGAAAUAUCUCUUAAAAGAUAACGUUUUUUCGUGCCUUGGAGUUCAUUAACUUUUCAGAUUUCCCUACAUUUUUCUCAACAGUUUUAAGAGAUGUCUUCGUUUCAAGAUCUGACAGUAAAUGAAUCUGUGGCACCCUCAAUUCAAGUCAUGAAUCAAGAUUUGAUUCGUCUUGAUCGGUUUGAUGGACAUAACUACACGCGUUGGCAGGAGAAGGUUUUAUUCUUCUUGACAGCAAUCAAACUGUCCUACAUUCUGAGUGAUGGUCUCACGCCUAUUCCAGAAGAAAAAGCAGAUGAUUUAGAUGAAGGCAAGAAGGAAUUACAGGAACAGCGGAAGAAAAGGAAGUACGAUGAUUUUCUGUGCAGAGGCCAUAUUCUGAAUGCACUAUCAGAUUCUGUUUACAGCGCACACAGGACUAUCGGAACAACAAAAGAAUUGUGGCUGGCAUUAGACAACAAGUAUCGUAUUGAAGAAGCAAGCAACCAGAAAUUCUUGAUCGGUAAUUACUUUGAUUUCAAGAUGACGGACAAUACGUCUGUUAUUGCCCAGGUACAUGAAUUACAACUUAUUGUUAGUAAUCUUAAGAAUGCUGAAAUUGUUUUGCCUGAUGCAUUUCAAGUUGGAGCCAUUAUUGUAAAAUUACCAAGUUCAUGGAAUGGCUAUAAAAAGAAACUCAAACAUGAUGAAACCAAGCAUACCCUGGAAUCCCUCAUGCGUAAUUUACGUAUUGAGGAAGACUCUCGUAAACGAGAGAAUAAUGAUCAAGCGGUAGAAAAGGCAAACAUGGUUCGAGGAAAUCAUAAGGAUAACAAGAAGCGUAAAAAUUCCAGUUCUAAGAAAGAUUAUGCAGAAACCUCUAAGAAAAAAUUCAAGGGGGAUUGUUUCUACUGCAAGAAAUCUGGUCAUAUUGUUCGUGAAUGCCAACAUCGAAUAAAAGACGAGAAGUCAAAGAACGAAAAAAUAAAGAAGGAUCAAGUAAAUGUGACUGAUGGAAAUCAUGAUCCAAACUUUGUUGCUGUGGUGGAAGAAGCCAACUCAGUUGGAUUUGAAGUAGGAUGGUGGCUGGAUACCGGAGCUACAAUUCAUGUAAGUAAUGACAAAUCUCAGUUCAAGACUUACAAAGAAUGCACCGAUGGAAGAGAAGUAAAAAUGGGUAACAAUGUUCGUACCAAAGUUGUUGGAAUUGGAUUAGUUGAACUGAAAUUCACUUCGGGAAAGAAUCUGACUUUGGCAGAAGUUCUCCAUGUGCCUGAAAUGACCAAGAACUUGAUUUCUGGGGAUCGCCUUAACAAGACAGGUUUUAAGCUUGUAAUUGAGUCUGAUAGCCUUAUAGUAUCUAAAAAUAAUGUAUUUGUCGGAAAAGGUUACUCAUGUAAUGGUAUGUUCAAAAUGAAUCUAAUAAAUGAUAACUUUGCUUAUACUGUUGAUUCUUUACCUUUAUGGCAUGCUAGAUUAGGCCGCAUAAAUUAUAAAUCCAUUAAGAACAUGCGUAAUUUAGGAAUUAUUCCUAAAUGUAAGUUUGAUGAUGUUAACAAAUGUGAUAUAUGUGUUCAAGGUAAAAUAACGUGUAAACCACAUAAAUCUGUUAUGCGAACAUCUGAAUUACUUGGUCUUAUACAUUCUGAUGUGGCUGAUCUGCAUAGUAAAGUUUCACGUGGAGGGAACAAGUACUUUGUGAUCUUUAUAGAUGAUUUUUUGAAAUAUGCUUAUGUAUACUUACUAAAAAGUAAAGAUGAAGUUUUAAGCAAAUUUCUUAUUUAUAAAGCAGUAGUGGAAAAUCAAUUAAACCGAAAAAUUAAAGUCCUACGUUCUAAUAGAGGAGGUGAAUACCAAGUAGCAGAAUUAGCAAAAUUCUAUGAAACUAAUGGCAUAGUUCACGAGUUUACUCCACCGUAUUCGCCAGAAUCAAACGGAGUAGCAGAAAUGAAAAAUCGGACUUUAGUUGAAAUGGUGAAUUACAUGCUUAUUAGUUCUGGUUUACCUAAUCAAUGGUGGGGUGAAGCAAUUUUAAGUGCAUGUUAUACUCUAAAUAGGAUUCCUAUGAAGAAGAUUAACAAAACUCCAUAUGAAUUGUGUUCAAUCGGAAACCUAAUAUUAGCCGUCUCAAGGCGUGGAGAUGUCUCGCAUAUGUGAGAAAACCAAAUCCAGAGAUUACUUAAUUAGGAAAUAAAACUUAUAAAUGUGUAUUCAUAGGUUAUGCAAAAAAUAGUACUGCUUAUAGGUUUCUGAAGUUAGAAUCCAAUGAUGUUAUAGAAUCAAUUGAUGCUGAAUUUUUUGAAAAUAUAUACAAGUCUUCAACUAUGCAAACUAAAGAUAAUACUACUUCUAGUUCUUCAAAGAGAGUUCAUGAAGAAUCUCUUGAUGAUACUUCUGUUGAACCACAAUCGGAAAUAGAACCUAGAAGGAGUAAGAGACAAAGGAAAGAAAAAUCUUUUGGAUCUGAAUUUGUGACUUAUUUGCUAGAAGGUGAUGUAAACAAUAUUAUACAUCAGACUAAGCUAAUGCUCAAUGAUGAUAGUGAUCCUGUCACAUAUUCAGAAGCUAUUUCCUCUCGAGAUGCUGUGCUUUGGAAAGAAGCAAUCAAUGAUGAAAUGAGAUCUAUUAUAUCAAAUCAAACAUGGAAAUUGGUUGACUUACCUCGUGGUUCUAAACCAAUAGGUUGUAAAUGGAUUUUCAAGAGGAAAUUAAAUACAGAUGGCUCUAUAAAUAAGUAUAAAGCUCGAUUAGUAUCUAAAGGUUUUAAACAAUGCCAUGGCAUAGAUUAUUUUGAUACUUAUGCUCCCAUAGCAAGGAUAUCUUCCAUCUGCGUGUUGCUAUCUCUUGCUUCAACUCACAAUUUAGUUGUCUAUCAAAUGGAUGUAAAAAUAGCUUUUCUAAAUGGUGAUUUGGAGGAAGAAGUAUAUAUGGAGCAACCCGAGGAUUUUGUUUUACCUGGACAAGAAAAGAAGGUUUGUAAACUAGUCAAGUCUCUUUAUGGUUUAAAACAAGCACCUAUACAAUGGCAUGAAAAGUUUAAUAAAGUAACGUUGUCUAACAGUUUCAAGGUUAAUGAAGCAGAUAAAUGUAUCUAUUCUACAUGUAGAAAUGGUACAUGUACUCUUAUUUGCUUGUAUGUAGAUGACAUGCUUAUUUUUGGUCUUAACUUAGAAAGUGUUAAGGAGACCAAACAAUUGCUAGAGUCUAACUUCGACAUGAAGGACUUAGGCGAAGCAAAUGUGAUCUUAGGGAUUAAAAUAAUAAGAAAAGAUGGAUGCAUAUUGCUGAAUCAAUCUCAUUAUAUUGAAAAUAUCCUUAAAAGAUAUGGUCAUAUGGGUCAUAAACCCGCAUCAAUUCUGAUAGAUCCUAGUAUUAAGUUAAUGAAAAAUACUGGUAGAUCUUAUGACCAACUACAAUAUGCAAGUGUGAUUGGAAGUCUUAUGUAUGAUAUGCACUGCACAAGACCAGACAUUGCAUAUGCGGUUGGCAUAUUGUGUCGAUUCACUAGUAAUCCAGGAAAAGAACAUUGGAAUGCGGUUUCAAGAAUCCUAAGAUACUUGAAAGGAACUAUUGAUUAUGGAUUACAUUAUAGUGGAUUUCCCGCUGUACUUGAAGGAUACAGCGAUGCAAGUUGGAGCAACAUAGAAUCGAAUUCUAAAUCCACAACGGGUUGGAUUUUUACUUUAGGAGGUGCAACUGUUUCUUGGUGUUCUAAGAAACAAACAUGCAUAUCAGAUUCGACUAUGUUGGCAGAAUUUAUUGCUUUGGCUGAUGCAAGUAAAAAAGCUGAAUGGUUAAGAAAUUUGCUAAUAGAUAUCCCAUUGUGGGAGAAACCAUCUCCAGCUGUGAUGAUCUAUUGUGAUAGUAAAGCUACUUUGUAUUCGGUAGCAAACAAGACUUACAAUGGUAAGCAACGACAUCUCAGUAUUAGACAUCAGUCUCUUCGAGGAUACUUAAGCAAGGAGUAAUCACCGUUGAAUAUGUAGAGUCGAAGAAUAACCUAGCAGAUCCUUUGACAAAAGGAUUAGCUAGAGAGAUGAUUGCGAAAACAUCGAAAGGAAUGGGAUUGAGGUCUUCGUAACUUCAGUUAGCUUUAAUGGGAACCCUACUUAUGUUUUGAAAUAUAAACAAAGUUCAAAGGGUACAAAUAAAUUAAAGUCUAACUUAGACGAGACACUAGAGUAUUAGUUCAAACCCAUUCAUAAAAUCUCUAGUGUAUGUAUUCUACAUGGUUGAGGAUGGAUUUAAUUCCUUAAUAAGUUCUAUUGAGAGAGAAAGUAACUCGCAGAAUUACUUUAUAAAGAACUUACCUAUGUGAGUGAGAAAGUCAGGCCGUUUUCUAUGAGAUUUAGACCGUCUCUAAAGCACUCAUGAAAUUCGGGAUAUACGCAAGGCCAUUAAUGCGUUGGUAUAAAAGAGACACUCCUUUUUAUCGGAAUAGUAUGUGUAAUGACUCCGGCUAGUCUUGAUAGGGUCCUUGGUUCAAGAUUCGUUCACCAUAGCACCUUGAUAAAACUUUGAGUUGUUUACACUAAGUGAAAGUUCAAAGUCAAAAUCUACUUUCAUUUAUGUACGAUUUCCUUCGAUGAUGCCUUUUGUGUGUGUUAGCAUGAACUAUGGUGGCUUGAUCCCGUUAAGGGUACGUAGGUAAUCAAUUUUUGUGAUGCAGCCGUUUCAUCUUUUCUAAAUCAAAAUUUUGAAAAAUAGGGGGGAUAUGUUAGAUAUUUUUCAUCAUUUUGCAUGUGUUUAAUUUUUUGUUAUGCGAAUGAUUUGCCGCCCGAAUUAGUGUUUGCCGCUGCGCAACGGGGGUCAGGUCGCGGGGGUUGAGGGGGCAACGCCCCCGAAAGAGAAUUUUAUUUUCAAAAGUUUUUGAAUAGAUGCAUCUGUUCAUUUUUAAAAGUCACUUCCAAUAGAUGUACACAAGGAUUUCAAGGGAUACACCUAUUCAAACAGUUGCCUCAGUUUCUAUAAAUUCUGUGCGAAUUCUCAUUUGCAAAUACAUUAAAAAUAUUAUUCUUCUUUCUUUCUCUUGGCAUCAAUCAAUUCUUUUCGAGUGUCUCUUGGUUUGAUCAAAUAGUCACAAUUUGAAUCAAACGUCUCCAUUGUAUCCUGAGAGAGAUUUUCUAUCAUACCCCAAUUGUGACUUUGUUGGAUAGGGGAGAAACAUCUCUUAAAAGAUAACGUUUUUUCGUGCCUUGGAGUUCAUUAAAUUUUUAGAUUUCCCUACAUUUUUCUCAACAGAGAAGGCAUCAUUGAGACAGUUAGAACCUCCAUCCUCUAGAAACUUUAUACUAGUAAUCCGAGCUAUGUGGGUUUCAGUAUUAGGAUCUUAGCAUUGGCAAUGAUCGAUGACAGUUGUGGUGAUUGGUGAAAGUGGUGGCAAAUGUUUCCUAUUUUGUGUGUUAGUUAUUUCUCUUAUUUGGAUGUCAUGUUUGUUGUUGGUGGUUUUUUGUGGGUAUGAUGCACUAUGGGCGUUGGCAGUGA
RNAcentral lists this long non-coding RNA (6057 nucleotides) under Olea europaea (common olive). Its description in RNAcentral is "long non-coding RNA (OEUR_LNC009911)". The record is from RNAcentral. Lineage: Eukaryota; Viridiplantae; Streptophyta; Magnoliopsida; Lamiales; Oleaceae.